This 422-nucleotide ribosomal RNA is filed under the name uncultured bacterium. RNAcentral's name for it is "partial 16S ribosomal RNA". It matches the Rfam family "Bacterial small subunit ribosomal RNA", at positions 360 to 776 of the family's 1533-position model. The record is from RNAcentral.
AAUAUUGGACAAUGGGCGAAAGCCUGAUCCAGCCAUGCCGCGUGUGAAGAAGGUCUUNNNAUUGUNACGCACUUUAAGUUGGGNGGCNGGGCAGUAAGUUAAUACCUUGCUGUUUUGACGUUACCGACAGAAUAAGCACCGGCUAACUUCGUGCCAGCAGCCGCGGUAAUACGAAGGGUGCAAGCGUUAAUCGGAAUUACUGGGCGUAAAGCGCGCGUAGGUGGUUUGUUAAGUUGGAAGUGAAAGCCCCGGGCUCAACCUGGGAACUGCUUUCAAAACUGACGAGCUAGAGUACGGUAGAGGGUAGUGGAAUUUCCUGUGUAGCGGUGAAAUGCGUAGAUAUAGGAAGGAACAUCAGUGGCGAAGGCGACUACCUGGACUGAUACUGACACUGAGGUGCGAAAGCGUGGGGAGCAAACAGG